Osmia bicornis bicornis is the source of this 1876-nucleotide long non-coding RNA. RefSeq lists it as uncharacterized. Lineage: Eukaryota; Metazoa; Arthropoda; Insecta; Hymenoptera; Megachilidae. The transcript is spliced from 3 exons. The record is from RefSeq and is a predicted model, not a curated record.
AAUAAAAUCCUAUCAGUUUUACGUGAAAAACAGAAGUAUCAAUCUAAGCUUGCGUAAGAUCGCUCGUGGACAUGCUCCAUUAUUAAGUAAACGUAAACUGUGAAAAGUGGGCCGCUUGGAAAGGGAGUCAAUGCCGUGCGAGAGACGGUAGGCUUUUUUUUUUCUCUACAAUAUUCUCUCAUCUUUUAUUAAACUGAAGAUGGAAUUUAAAUAUCAAGCUUUUUGUAAUAUAAGGACAUUUAAUAACAUAGAUCACCCUUUCCAUUUUUUAUCUAUAAACAAUGGGUAACGCGUUAAUUAAGAAAGUAGUAAUCUUAAACACCAUUCAAGCGCGUCUUUUGCAAGGACGACGAGACCGGCUGCGGUUCCGCGUGGUGCAUUUGAUCAGGCUGAUGCCCUUCUGACAUUUCGUUGACAAGAUACGACACUCGCGUGUCACGAUACCAUUCUACCUAUUAUACUAUUAUUUUUUAAUAUAAAUUGUCCUAGUAUAUCAUUGAACUAUAACGCUUGGUAUCUAAAGAUCUAUCUAACAAGGAAAUCAAUGAUCUAACAUUGAAUUGUAUGUAAAUAGAAAAUAAUUGCAUUGUAGUAGUUAUGAAUUAGCAACAGGUUUCUGUUAUUUUUAAGUUCUAAAUUUAUGCGAGACACGCUAAUAAGGAAAACGGCUCGCUUAAAAACAGAUGAAUGAAUGGAAAAAGAAUAAAAACAAUAUUGUUAUGUCUGAACAAAAGAAGAGAAUUUUAAUUUGUAAAAGAGCUUCUAUUUCGCUCAUCAAGAUGUUCUUAUUUCUUUUUCUAGGUCAAUGUUUAACGAGGUAUAAAAGUGCAAACGUUACGAAAGUGAUCGCUGAUUCACCAAAAAUUCGAGGCAUAUUAAUUCUAAACGAGAACUUGUGGUCGCAAACGACGCAAGCAAAUACAUUUCAACCUGACAUUUUCGUGUCGACAUUUGUCUGUGACAUUUAAGACUUCUGGGAAUUCGUUCACCAUAAAUUUGUUGCUAACUCAUUGCCACAUCUAUCAUUUCUAUUACCAUUACAUCCAUUUUCUGAUCAAGAUUAAAUUGUGGUCCUUACUAAAAAGUUGGUAUCAAACAGAAGAAUUAUUUGAUGUUAAAUUUGUUAAUUGCAAUUUAUUGCAGACAUUCACUGCUGUUAUUAUGUCAGCAAAAUAGCAUCAGCGUAACGCCUAACGUUGCAUGUACUCGCGUGUCUCAUCCCGCAUACCUAAACGAAGACGCAAGGAAUUACAUGUCGUAAAACGAACUUGAACUUACCCAUGCUGGUGAAUGCGUUUUGCACGGGUAACAACACCUGUUGAUCCACGCGAGACGGCGUCUCUUGGUUGACUGAGAUUGCAGGCGGCUUCUCGUACUCUCCUGAAAGAGUGAGUGCCGUUAUGUUAUACAGGAUGUAUCAAAAACGUUGGCCAUAACAGUAUCAACGUAUUACAAAAAGAACAAAGAAUCUGAAGAAAAAAAGAAGCAUGCACAUUUAACUUUCUCCUUUUGCAAAGUGAAUUCAAGUCGCAAUGCUUGGUGGGAAGAAAAACCAAGUAUUAGAAACACUUGUACCCUGUAGAUCCUACAAUUGUAUUUUAUAACACUUAACAUUUUUUUAAAAUAUUCAUUUCAUCAUCAUUUGUAAUUGUACAGCUAGAAUUUUGGAUAGUAUGAAGAUAAAUUGGAGUGGGUGUUAGGUGGGCAGACGACCUCGUCCUUCCAUAUUCAGAUUGGAUAGUGUCAUCAAUUUAUAGUGGGCUCCGAAGGACUUUCUUCUAAUUAAGUAGAACAGAAACAGCAACAAACUAUAUAUUGGCAGCCUACAAAAAAUAUGAGGUACGUUAAAUAAAUGCAAUAAAUAUAUUCAUAUUUA